Molecule: ribosomal RNA, 608 nt
Filed under: uncultured bacterium
Lineage: Bacteria
Description: bacterial SSU rRNA
Rfam family: Bacterial small subunit ribosomal RNA (bases 1-543)
Source: RNAcentral
CCUACGGGAGGCAGCAGUGGGGAAUAUUGGACAAUGGGCGAAAGCCUGAUCCAGCAAUACCGCGUGUGUGAAGAAGGCCUUAGGGUUGUAAAGCACUUUCAAUUGGGAGGAAAACCUGCCGGUCAAUACCCGGUAGCUUGACAUUACCUUUAGAAGAAGCACCGGCUAACUCCGUGCCAGCAGCCGCGGUAAUACGGAGGGUGCGAGCGUUAAUCGGAAUUACUGGGCGUAAAGCGUGCGUAGGCGGUUCGUUAAGUCAGAUGUGAAAGCCCCGGGCUCAACCUGGGAACUGCAUUUGAAACUGGCGGACUAGAGUUUAGUAGAGGGGAGUGGAAUUUCAGGUGUAGCGGUGAAAUGCGUAGAUAUCUGAAGGAACACCAGUGGCGAAGGCGACUCCCUGGACUAGAACUGACGCUGAGGUACGAAAGCGUGGGUAGCAAACAGGAUUAGAUACCCUGGUAGUCCACGCCGUAAACGAUGUCGACUAGCCGUUGGUCCUAUUUACAGGAUUAGUGGCCGCAGCUACGACAUAGUACGACCGCCGUGGAGACGGCGCGAGUAACGUACAANAGAUAGAGCGUGAGAGNGCGAGACGACGACGAGGAGAG